GAGUUUGAUCAUGGCUCAGAUUGAACGCUGGCGGCAGGCCUAACACAUGCAAGUCGAACGGUAACAGGAAACAGCUUGCUGUUUCGCUGACGAGUGGCGGACGGGUGAGUAAUGUCUGGGAAACUGCCUGAUGGAGGGGGAUAACUACUGGAAACGGUAGCUAAUACCGCAUAACGUCGCAAGACCAAAGAGGGGGACCUUCGGGCCUCUUGCCAUCAGAUGUGCCCAGAUGGGAUUAGCUAGUAGGUGGGGUAACGGCUCACCUAGGCGACGAUCCCUAGCUGGUCUGAGAGGAUGACCAGCCACACUGGAACUGAGACACGGUCCAGACUCCUACGGGAGGCAGCAGUGGGGAAUAUUGCACAAUGGGCGCAAGCCUGAUGCAGCCAUGCCGCGUGUAUGAAGAAGGCCUUCGGGUUGUAAAGUACUUUCAGCGGGGAGGAAGGGAGUAAAGUUAAUACCUUUGCUCAUUGACGUUACCCGCAGAAGAAGCACCGGCUAACUCCGUGCCAGCAGCCGCGGUAAUACGGAGGGUGCAAGCGUUAAUCGGAAUUACUGGGCGUAAAGCGCACGCAGGCGGUUUGUUAAGUCAGAUGUGAAAUCCCCGGGCUCAACCUGGGAACUGCAUCUGAUACUGGCAAGCUUGAGUCUCGUAGAGGGGGGUAGAAUUCCAGGUGUAGCGGUGAAAUGCGUAGAGAUCUGGAGGAAUACCGGUGGCGAAGGCGGCCCCCUGGACGAAGACUGACGCUCAGGUGCGAAAGCGUGGGGAGCAAACAGGAUUAGAUACCCUGGUAGUCCACGCCGUAAACGAUGUCGACUUGGAGGUUGUGCCCUUGAGGCGUGGCUUCCGGAGCUAACGCGUUAAGUCGACCGCCUGGGGAGUACGGCCGCAAGGUUAAAACUCAAAUGAAUUGCCGGGGGCCCGCACAAGCGGUGGAGCAUGUGGUUUAAUUCGAUGCAACGCGAAGAACCUUACCUGGUCUUGACAUCCACGGAGGUUUUCAGAGAUGAGAAUGUGCCUUCGGGAACCGUGAGACAGGUGCUGCAUGGCUGUCGUCAGCUCGUGUUGUGAAAUGUUGGGUUAAGUCCCGCAACGAGCGCAACCCUUAUCCUUUGUUGCCAGCGGUCCGGCCGGGAACUCAAAGGAGACUGCCAGUGAUAAACUGGAGGAAGGUGGGGAUGACAUCAAGUCAUCAUGGCCCUUACGACCAGGGCUACACACGUGCUACAAUGGCGCAUACAAAGAGAAGCGACCUCGCGAGAGCAAGCGGACCUCAUAAAGUGCGUCGUAGUCCGGAUUGGAGUCUGCAACUCGACUCCAUGAAGUCGGAAUCGCUAGUAAUCGUGGAUCAGAAUGCCACGGUGAAUACGUUCCCGGGCCUUGUACACACCGCCCGUCACACCAUGGGAGUGGGUUGCAAAAGAAGUAGGUAGCUUAACCUUCGGGAGGGCGCUUACCACUUUGUGAUUCAUGACUGGGGUGAAGUCGUAACAAGGUAACCGUAGGGGGCCUGCGGUUG
Molecule: ribosomal RNA, 1520 nt
Filed under: metagenome
Description: bacterial SSU rRNA
Rfam family: Bacterial small subunit ribosomal RNA
Source: RNAcentral